UGGGGAAUAUUGGACAAUGGGCGCAAGCCUGAUCCAGCCAUACCGCGUGGGUGAAGAAGGCCUUCGGGUUGUAAAGCCCUUUUGUUGGGAAAGAAAAGCAAUCGAUUAAUACCCGGUUGUUCUGACGGUACCCAAAGAAUAAGCACCGGCUAACUUCGUGCCAGCAGCCGCGGUAAUACGAAGGGUGCAAGCGUUACUCGGAAUUACUGGGCGUAAAGCGUGCGUAGGUGGUUGUUUAAGUCUGUUGUGAAAGCCCUGGGCUCAACCUGGGAAUUGCAGUGGCUAAUGGGCAACUAGAGUGUGGUAGAGGGUAGUGGAAUUCCCGGUGUAGCAGUGAAAUGCGUAGAGAUCGGGAGGAACAUCCAUGGCGAAGGCAGCUACCUGGACCAACACUGACACUGAGGCACGAAAGCGUGGGGAGCAAACAGG
RNAcentral lists this ribosomal RNA (429 nucleotides) under bacterium. RNAcentral's name for it is "partial 16S ribosomal RNA". It matches the Rfam family "Bacterial small subunit ribosomal RNA", at positions 355 to 776 of the family's 1533-position model. The record is from RNAcentral.